Molecule: ribosomal RNA, 256 nt
Filed under: uncultured bacterium
Lineage: Bacteria
Description: partial 16S ribosomal RNA
Rfam family: Bacterial small subunit ribosomal RNA
Source: RNAcentral
UACGGAGGGUGCGAGCGUUGUCCGGAAUCAUUGGGCGUAAAGGGCGCGUAGGUGGCCCGGUCAGUUCGUGGUGAAAGCGCGGGGCUCAACCCUGCGUCGGCCAUGAAUACUGCCGCGGCUGGAGCACUGUAGAGGCAGGCGGAAUUCCGGGUGUAGCGGUGGAAUGCGUAGAGAUCCGGAAGAACACCGGUGGCGAAGGCGGCCUGCUGGGCCAGUUGCUGGACACUGAGGCGCGACAGCGUGGGGAGCAACAGGG